UACGUAGGUGGCAAGCAUUAUCCGGAAUUACUGGGCGUAAAGAGGUGCGUAGGCGGAAUGCCGCGUCGCUUAUUAAAAGGUGAGGCUCAACCUUACCCUUGUAUGCGAUACGGGUGUUCUAGAGGAAUGUAGGGGCAAGCGGAACUCUCGGUGGAGCAGUGAAAUGCGUUGAUAUCGAGAGGAACACCGAAGGCGAAGGCAGCUUGCUGGGCAUUUCCUGACGCUUAGGCCCGAAAGCGUAGGGA
Molecule: ribosomal RNA, 245 nt
Filed under: uncultured Clostridium sp.
Lineage: Bacteria; Bacillati; Bacillota; Clostridia; Eubacteriales; Clostridiaceae
Description: partial 16S ribosomal RNA
Rfam family: Bacterial small subunit ribosomal RNA
Source: RNAcentral